RNAcentral lists this long non-coding RNA (3298 nucleotides) under Sus scrofa (pig). RNAcentral describes it as "lncRNA (ENSSSCG00030065162.1)". Lineage: Eukaryota; Metazoa; Chordata; Mammalia; Artiodactyla; Suidae. The record is from RNAcentral.
AAGACCAGUUCUAAGGGAUUUCCCUAGUUCAUUCCUGAUCUUUCUUUUCCUAACUCUCGUCUCCAUUUAAGACUUUAAGUCUUUUUUUCUAAAUUUAUUUAUUUAUUUAUUUCCUUUUUAUUUAUUUAUUUAUUUUUCCUGCUCUACAGCUUGGGGACCAAGUUACACAUACAUGUAUACAUACUUUUUCCUCCCAUUGUUGUGUUUCAAUGUAAGUAUCAAGACAUAGUUCCCAAGACUACACAGCAGGAUCUCAUUGUAAAUCCAUCUCUUAAAGUCUUAAAUUCUCCAGCCAUUAAGUCUUCUCCCAAUAGGGUGUUCCGGAAUCUGAACCCAGUGGCCCAGAAGGAACGCCCAGUAUGUGUGUUAUAAGGUGGAGUGAUGUGUGUGUCUGCAGGUUUGUACCAGAGCCAGCAGUAAGGACUGGAAAGGGCAAGACUUUGCACGACGUCUUUUCAACAAUCCAGCGAAACCAGGAGAGGGAGUUCCAGUUGUGGCUCAGUGGUAACGAACCGGACUAGUACCCAUGAGGAUGCAAGUUUGAUCCUUGGCCCCAUUCAGUGGGUUAAGGAUCUGGUGUUCCCAUGAGUGGUGUGGGUCGCAGAUGUGGCUGGGAUCCCGAGUUGCUGUGGCUCUGGUGUAGGCCAGUGGCUACUGCUCUGAUUAGACCCCUAGCCUGGGAACCUCCAUAUGCCAUGAGUGGGGCCCUAAAAAGCAAAAAAUGAAACAAAACAAAACAAAAACCAAACCAAAACAAACGAACAGAACAGGAGAGAAGGGGGUACCUGCUGUGACCCAGAAUCCCUCUCAUGCUGUGGUCCUCUUCCUCCACCUCUUAUGUGGUGUGGGUUAAGGGGAGAAUUGUCACAGGAUAUCACCCUACUGUCCCAUCUUCCCUGUGCUCCUAUCCCCACCCAACUCCAAAUACUUCUCUAAGCCACUCAAACCCACAGGAGUAGGAAAGGGGUGCGUUGUUUGGGGGAGGGGCAGUCCCACGUGCCCCAUCUGGGGGAAAGGGCUGACUUUUUGGACCUGAGCCUAAGCGCUUUCUGUCCAUGCCAAGGGCUGCCUCCUGCAUCUGGGCCUGUGGGGUUAGAAGAGCUGCCAAAAUCCUAAACUGGGCAAUGACAGUGGACAGCCUAGAUCUUGGCCACUGACUCUGCCUCAGCCCUAGGGUCAUUCGGGACGUCUCUGGAGUUCCUUCCCCCCGCCAGGCUCUGAAGUAGACUUGAGAAAGGCAUAAAGAAACCCCACAAGUCCCCUGUUUCAACCUAAAAGCCCUUCCAGGGGCAGGAACCCCAAGUGAGUGAAAAAGUACAAUUCACCAUUAAGCGGGAGUGUGGAGAAUCCCAUCCAGGGCUGUUUCUGGAUGGGACUUGCCCCCAACACUUGCAGUGCAGCCAACAGGAGUAUUUGUCCUUUCUCAAAAGACGAAGCCUGAAACCCUUUGCCUCCUUGUUCCAGAGAUCCAUUCGGCCCUAAACAGCCAGCCUUCCUUCCAGGAUUGCCUGUAGCCCUGAGCAACAGGUGGCUUAUUUCAGGCUGAAGGACAAGAGGCCUACUACCCCUGUGCCAAGGACGUCCCGCGGGGUCCUCACCUUUGAGCCCCGCCCACCAACCAAUGAGGACUCACAGAGGUGACGUCACUACAUCCUGUUUCCCAGCCCAGCCGGGAGCAUGGGACCCGGUGGGGAAAAGAGCCAAUGUAAAUGACGGAUGCCACGACCAUGUUGGUAAAGACGUGGAAGGCAAAUGAGUCAGCAGCAAGUUUAAGCAACGAACAAUUGCACCACGGGGUGUUUCUCAAAUUCUUGUCUACUUUUAGAAAGUAUGCAAUGCCAUCCGGUUGAGCGUCUUGGUUCUGAAAUAGCUACAGAAAAUGUUAAAAAUGCUGUGGGUGAAGAUGUGCCCACAUGUAUCGCUCUUCUAAAACAAUAGUUAACAAUGGCACAGCGUGUCCUCGGCACAUCUUUUCAUCUUGCUGUACCUUAGUUUCCUCACCCGGAACAUGAGCGGAAUGUGUGCACAUUGUCUUGGGAGAUUCCUUUCGGUCUGACGGUCCAUGAUAUGGUAUCAUGCUCACAGUCUUAAUACUCAGACUGGGUCUACACAGUGCCAAGACCACUAGCCAGUUCAGUGAGUGUGGACAAAAUGUUCUCUCCAAUCAAUUCCUUGGCACCAUGUGGCUAAAACAGCCAGGCCUAUGUGUGAAUAGAGAUGGUGGGAGUAUAAGAAAAAGGACAACUCAUUAUUGAUGUUUCAGAUGCCGUCAUGUUAUGGAUGACACUGGCAGGGACCCCAAGGGAUGAGACCUAUCUCUGCUGGAGAACGUUGGGCAUCUUAAUAGAUAAGAUAAUGAAGCGAAGCCUUAACAGCAAACACUCAUUAAACUUUAACGAUUUCUAUCUACCCUCGUCCCACAAGCAGCUUCCACACAUGCCUCUGCGCAGCUGUGGCCUCAGGACUGAGGCGCAGUGUAGACCGUGUUCAUCGGAACGGCGUUGGAUGACUUUAUUGACCAACUCGGCUCAGCUUUUCUAAGGGGAAAAGCUCUGUUCGUACCAAAGGCUUCUCCAGGCCCUUCCCCAACACCUCUGAUUAAACAGGCUGAGCUCCCCAGAGAACAAUCCGCACCAGGAUGCAGCGAAGCCCAGCAGUGGUCUUUCCUGAUGCUCUGGUCCUCCUCGCCCUGCCCGCUGACGGAUGACUCCGCUCCGUGACUUUACUGAACUCCAGUUCGCCCACCUCCCCACACUCGUGUCCUCGGCUGUGAGCAGGCGCACUUGUGACCUGGGAGAGAACCCAAACCAACACCGACCCUGACCCCUGACGGGAGUGUUAGACUCGCAGCAGAGUCAGAUGGGAGCUGCAGGGCAAGGCUCCCCUUACAUGUGGUCUGAACCCAGGGGAGUUCACCUCGCUGAGUUAAACUCGAUGUGCUGUGACUGCCGGGCCAUGGUGCUUCGUAUCUGACUCCCAAGGGACUCUCCCUCAAGUGACUGCAAGCUCCUUGGGCACUUUUCUAUUUUGGCAUCCCCUGGGAUCAUGCAGAGCACAGAGGGAUGCUCAGGCAGAAAGCACUUUGUGUCUCUGUGUCACCUUUUGGUUAAAAGGACUUUAAAAGUCAUGUUCUGGGAUGGCCUGCUUUGUACCUACCAGAGAGCAGGGUUUGCAGAGUCAGGCGACUUUAGGGGUCUGCUUACACUCUAACCUGAUCAGGGACCUGGUUGCUAAGCGACCUUUCAAUGGAGAUUAGUGAUAACAAACUCAGCAAAGAGCUGAGGCUUGAGAAAGGAAU